UGCUCUUAUAUUUGAUGCACAUGCUGU
This 27-nucleotide small RNA is filed under the name Bombyx mori (domestic silkworm). Its description in RNAcentral is "ovarian small RNA-8621". The record is from RNAcentral. Lineage: Eukaryota; Metazoa; Arthropoda; Insecta; Lepidoptera; Bombycidae.